This is a long non-coding RNA of Mya arenaria, 413 nucleotides long. RefSeq lists it as uncharacterized. NCBI's taxonomy places the organism in Eukaryota, Metazoa, Mollusca, Bivalvia, Myida, Myidae. The transcript is spliced from 4 exons. The record is from RefSeq and is a predicted model, not a curated record.
AUAAAGUUAAGUCAGCAACCGUCUACCAGACUGCAAGAUUCAUCUCUUCCAAAGGAUGUCGUACCUUUCCAGAUACACUGUGUUUUGUGUGGAUAAGAAAUGCAGAGUGGUACCACCAAUCACCUAAGCCACCAUUCCCCUAACAGACAAUAGGUUAUGGGGACAGUUCCUGCAAUUUACAGAAAAGCUCUCAAUUGUAGCCCUACGAACUUCAGAUACUGCCGAUGGUGAAGCUUGGGUGCACCGGGCCGGUUUUCCAGCCGUGUGGAAUCAACAUCUCCAGCUGAACUGGGGCCGGGAAUUAUAUAAGACUCCUUAGCAGCAUGAGUGCCAGCCAGUCAUUGCUGUUCUUUGCAUUGCUGAGGAGGACAGUCCUGCCAACAUAACAGUUUGUUCAAUAACAGGUAAAAAAC